AACGUAGGUCCCGAGCGUUAUCCGGAUUUACUGGGCGUAAAGCGUGUUCAGGCGGUCUAGCAAGUCGGGCAUGAAAUCUCUCGGCUCAACCGGGAGGGGUUGUCCGAUACUGCUGGGCUUGAGGGCAGCAGAGGGUGGUGGAAUUCCGGGUGUAGUGGUGAAAUGCGCAGAUAUCAGGAAGAACACCCGUGGCUAAGGCGGCUCUCUAGUACGGUACUGACGCUGAGACGCGAAAGCGUGGGGAGCGAACAGG
RNAcentral lists this ribosomal RNA (253 nucleotides) under uncultured bacterium. RNAcentral describes it as "partial 16S ribosomal RNA". It matches the Rfam family "Bacterial small subunit ribosomal RNA", at positions 524 to 776 of the family's 1533-position model. The record is from RNAcentral.